CCAGAACUGUGAGUCAAACGCACCCCCCUUCUUCAUGCACUAGUAGUCUGUGGCAUUCAGUUACAGCAAUAGAAAACAGACCGAGACGAUUUGUUUCAUUAUGGACCCUCGCCCACUUCUGGAAGGUCAGGCUCUUUGGUGCACCUGAAAACUCACUUCCCAGAGAAGCGGGUGACACUCUGUCUUGGGGUGAGGGGGGCUGGGUGCUGGUCCCCUGCCCCAGCCUCUGGCUGGCUGCACAGAAGGAGCAUGGCUGGGGUGUGACUGGCCCUGUGAUGUGUCUCCCUAGGGUCUCAGGCACCACAGCACAUCACAGGGCAUCUUGCAGCCCAGGAAAGAGGAGGCGAGACCCAGGCAGGGCCAGUGUGGAUGAACAGUGGGAACAGCUUGCGGAAGGCUGCCUCUGCAGGCCGCCCCAGAUGUGUCUUCAGGAUGGCCGUGUUUGCAGGCUGUGCCACCUGCUGUACCCAGCUGGAAGAGGACUGCCUAGGAAUUUUCUUUGAGUUUCCAGGCUAGGGGUGUGGUGUGGUGCGAUGGUGGGGUGGGAGCGCCUGCUGCCAGGUGCCAGAGGGGGGAAGGAGAAGGGAGGGAGGAGGGAAGAAGCCUAUUACAACUGGUUUUUUUUCUGCCUAUUUUUCUCUUACGACUUUUUUCCAGUUAACAUGUGUCAUCUACUAGCAGUCUCCAUGCACUUGCCCAUUUAUCUCAUUUUUCAUCGUCUGUUUUACCAUUAAUAGCAGCUUUACGAGAGCAAGAGUUAUACCAUUUUUUGGACUCUGCCUGACCCGAAAACACAGCUUGGUACCUGGUAGUGGCUCAAUAACAAAUCUUCUGGAGGAAGCAAGGGACCCUCUUCCCACGUGGCACAGACCAGUGGGCCUUCCAUGGGUGGCAGCAUGGGUGCCUGAUGGUCUUGGGUGUCCUGUGGAUAAUGGUUCUUCAUUUUAAGAAAGAUUUUCAAGAACUCACAUUGGUAUAAAAAGUGAGUUGUCAUCCCACCUGCGACUUCAUGGAUGUUAUUGCUUGGAGUUAAGCCCAAAUUGAAAAAAAAAAAAAAAAAAAACCAAUGUGAACUGUGUUAAAGGGAGCACAGAGUCCAGGUGGGGAAAGGCACAGCUGGGGCUGAUGGACCAGGCUGACCUUCUGGGAAGAUGACUUGCAACAGCCUGGUGCUCAGAUCAGGCAGAAGGUGUGGAGGCUUCGGCCAGCAUCGGAGCGAGGAGCUGGGCUGGUGCUAAGGGCGUGGGCACAGGGAGCUGGAGCAGGUGAGGAAGCCAGGCUGGGGAGGGGUGGAGGUACGUGCGUGGCUUCCACCUGUCUGCCUUAUUUUAAGACUUAGCACAGUCCCUUGCACACAGUAGGUGCUCAGCCAAUAUUUAAUGAAGGAAUAAAGGGGUGGAUGCAGGAGUAGCUGAGUCUCUGCACCCACCAGAUCCUACAGGGCUUCCCAUGCCCUUCUCCCUGAGGGAAGCAGUCUCUCGGGAGAGGAGAAAAUUAGAGGGGCUGGAGCCCUGCAGAGGGGUGAUCCCCGCCCACCUGGACUGGCUGAAGAGAAGCCUGCUUCUGGCCAGCCUUUGCGGGUUUGUGGAGACAAGUUAAUAGCACAGGUGUGUAGCAGGCGGGAUGUGAUGCGGGCAGGGCCUGGCUGGGGGACGUGAGGACUCCCUCUAAUCAGCCUUGGCCCGGGGUUCGGGGUUUUGCCAGGGCGCUGAGAGAGCUCCUCUCUUUCUCUCACCAGGGAGUGGGGAGGGUUAGCAGAGGGCUCCGAGUCUCAUGGAGUUGCUGGCACAGACUUCUCAGGAGCCAUUGCAGGACUCACACCAAUGUGGGGACAGAGCUUCUCCCUCCCAGGAGGACCAAGGACAGCUCAGCAGUUUCUUCCAAAGAAAGAAGCCAGUUCCGUCCAGGUUGUCACACUCAGGGCAAAGGGCUGGGCUAGGGUGCCAACAUUUAGAGUCCCCAGUGUGCACCAUGUGACUUUACCGUGACCUUUGAUGACUACCUCUGCAGGUGUGGCAUCCUGGGUUGGGAAGGUUGAGGCCCUUAGCUAGGGCCAUGCAGCCCUUAAGUGUCCCAACUGGAAUUGGAAUCAGGGUCUUUCAUCAUCUAAAAAUCAUGUUCUCUCUAAUACUCACGGCCAUGCACUCCAUCCAAAAGAGACCUCUGGGCUAUGUGCCUAGAGCAAUAGAAAAUGUAGACUAAGGACAGGAGACUUGGGACAGAAAUAUUUGGGGACAUUUUUGUGGCUAAAUGCUCUGGACCUGGAGAGAAAGCCUGAAGACACAAUCUAUUAGGUCAAGGGCCUCGGGCAGAAAUCUCAUCUGAUCGGUCAACCCAUCGGGAAGGGUACUUCAGGCAGGGGGAACAACCCGCGUGCAAAGGCAUGCGGGGUGUAGCAUUAGGAUGAGGGUGUAGCAGGCCAUGGGCACAGAGGGGUGGGCUGCACUGGGGACCUACCUGCCCUGCUCUCCCCCUGGAGGACAAUCUGCUCAGACCCAGGCCGCUCUCCUGGAUACUCUGCACCAUGUAGAGCUCCUCUGAUAACAGUCUAAGCUCUAGUCUCUUCAAGGGUUGAUAUUCUCUCAAAUAGCAAAGGGCCAUCCUGCUCUACAGGCCGGCGGGUGGAAGGUGUUAAACAAGGAAGGGAAACGAUCGCAGCAAUUGCUGAAGAACUUGGAAGUGGUGUCUUGCUCUCUACCCAUGUAUGCUUCAAGCAGAAUCAAGGAGAACCCAGUCAGAUCUGCCUUCAGCCUGCAGCUCAGGAGCACUCAACCACUGAACCACAUCCCCAGCCCUAUUUUGUAUUUUAUUUAGAGACAGGGUCUCACUGAGUUGCUUAGGGCCUCGCUUUUGCUAAGGCUGACUUCAAACUCACGAUCCUCCUGCCUCAGCCUCCCGAGCCACUGGGAUUACAGGCAUGUGCCUCUCCACCGGGCUUCAACUUUGUCUUCUUGAUCUGCAAACUGGGAAAACUUUGUGAGUGAAGACAGAGUGAGGAAUGGCUUCAGAUAGUUGGAAAUAUUAAGUGAUGCUAAGGAAAGAGGAAUUUCCAUCUCUGGCUAUUCCUGAGGGGAGACGUCAUCACUUUUCAUGUUCUUCCCUGAAAGCCUAAGAGAAUUUGAAGUUUGGGCCAUAAUUGUCCUCCCUAAAGGGACGAUGCCCAGAUGGUACAGUUCUGACAUCUAACUUGGUUUCUUCCUGUCAAUACACUUUCCCCUGUAGAGCCCCGGGGCCUCUUUCCCGAUUCUGUUUUUUAUUUUAUUUUUUUUUCUCUUCUUCAAGCCAGUCUUAGUCAAAGUGUCUCUGCUACUUUCUAAAACGCAGAUUUUUAAACCAGUUGUGUGUUUGGGUGGGGAGCAGGCGCAGAGGGCCUCUUUUCUCCUGCCACACUCCCUGAUGAUCAGCAGCAAGACUCCUGGUGCUUGUUGCCAGUUCAGGAGCCCUCGGAACUGCUCUCCUCCCUGGCAACACGCACUCUUGAAGAGCUCCGCCCCUCGGCUGCAGAACAGCCUCAUUUUGAGGCAACUCUACAAUUGCCAUUCUAGGUGGCCCCAGACCUCUCCAUCCCUCUAGUGCUGUAAGAUUGGUUUUGGUGCCUGGAGGUGUCGGAUAGUCCAGAAGCCAAGUCUGCACUUGGCAAGAGCCCUGAGACCGCCAUACCUGGGUGAAGACCCCAAGAGAGCCCUGUAGGAAAAGGUCCCUCACACCCAUUUGACAGAAGGUGGUGUGGCCACUGUGAGGGGUGGAAGUAGCACUGGAGGUAGGCCUUCUGUCUCUGUUCAGAGAGAAACCAACAAUGGCUGCUUGAGCCUGAAAAUCCCCAGGGCCUCGGAGACCACGGGAACACUGUGGCAAGUUCUUUUAUCCAAUCCACAUUGGAACCAAACACUUGAAUCCAUGUCUAUUUCCUCCCUGAAGCUAGUAACUUGCUCAAAACUUUGGACCCAAUUCAAUACAUGGCAGAGCCAGGCUUUGAACCCAAGGGUCGAGCUGUGUCCUCUCAGACGCUGCCUCUCCCGUGUCAGCCCAAAGCAUGGUGGCUUUCUCUUAAGACAUUGUCGUCUUCUGGGAGUAAAGCCAAGUCCUCCUCCAGGAAGACCUCAAUGAAUGCUGCAAGCCACCAACGGUGUGUUUUCCCCUCGGAACAACUGACCUCCCUCCUCAGUUUCUCAUGGAUCUGAAGUUCCCCAUCUCGAAGGCAAAGGCUGUUGCUACUAAAAAAUAUAUAUAUAUAUAUUUUCAAGUACCAGUUCCCUCCAUCUCAUACUUCCUAAAUUUUAAUUCAUUACCAAACUCAGGAGAGGCUCAAAGACUUGCAGAGUCAAAGGGGAAACUUUGAGGAAGGGAAGCUGUGGGAACCAGAAUUUGCCUAUGACUAAUCUUUGAUCUUCCAUUGAAAUCAACUGUUCAAGAAGCUCUUUGAAAAUCAACUGAUUUUGAGAUCAAGUAAAUUUUUUUUACAUCUAUGGGUUUCCUCAUCUGCCAUUGAGGAUAAUGUAUUCAAAGGGCCUACUCCAUAAAUGGGGGUCAUUGUUAUUGUUUUAAAAAGACCCAUGAUCUCUAUUGGUCAGUUGGAUAAAAAUGCAUUUCCCCUCUUUCAUCUAAAUUCAUUGAGUAUAAGAUGGCGGGCAAAAAUCACAGUGUAAAGAUAAAACUUUAAUCCUGGAUCUCAUCCUUAAGCAUAGUACCAGUCCUCUCUCUCUGAAUUCUCUUGGUGUUUUCACUGGGUCUCAUUCCCCACAUGUGGUCAGGACAGGGACUAACCUCUUAGCCUCUUCUCACUUCUCUCCUUCAUCUGGUUCCCCAAUCUUGACCUGUUGGCUCAAGGACUCCAAAGGAGAAGCUAAUGAUACACCUAAAAUACAAGGUCUUAGAGGUGGAAUCUGAGGACUACCAGAGAAGAGGGGUAGCUCCCAAAAGAGGCAAGAAGAGCCCUUUUAACUACAAUAUAAAUGCCAGAGAGGUAGAGAAAGAAAGGAGUUGGCAACAGAGGAGAAAGUAAUAUGGCGGUAACAGAACUGGGGUUGUCUCUGUGGAAAUAACUCUGUAUCAUGUCAAGAUCUUUCCCUCAUCUGUGAUGCUGAACAUUAUUACUUACAUAAGAAUUAGGUUUCCAAGUAUCAUUCAGGGACAUUAAAGACAGUGAGGUAGAGUGGUGGAGUUGACUGGGUAAAUUCAUUUACAAACUAGUGCAUUUACUAACAAUGUAUUAAGCAACUACUAUGUGAGAAAAUGGAUAUAAGACUUGUCAGAUUUAGCACUGAACAAGAUCCUGCUCCCUGCCUUCCUAGAAAAUGUCUAAUCAGUGAAACUUUCAUGGCAGGAAAGAGGAGACGGAAAUGUCUGCAGGGUGUCAUGGUAUUGACACAUCUUCCCUUUGAAACCUUGAGCACGGACACAGUCCUGGAUUGGAGCACAGUACGGACCACAGGGUGGCCCUCGGUAAGUGGCUGCUGAAUGAAUGACAUUAUUAUUUGCCAGUCUGUCUCUAUUACUAGACUGUGAGUUCUGUUAAGCAAUAAUCCCUUAUCCACACAAUACAUUGUAGAGUCAGGAUAAACUAGGAGACCCCAAUAUCCCAGAAGUCAUCAUGGAUCCAUCUGGGGGAUUCUGUCCAUAAAGAUCCAUGCAGACAAGGCAGUCGCCAUCUUGAAAAUGGCAGGUCACUAUGUCUACCCGCCAAAUCAUGCUCUGGAGCUCUAGCUAGCAUGGGUGGUUAGACAUGACAACCUGGAAGUAGUUCACAUCGUUGCUGCUCAUGACUCACUGGCAGGACAAGGAGGCGAGGAGACGUGUGAGCUCUGCAGGUAGUGUGCAUGUGUGUAUGUGUGUGUAUAUGUGUGUGCAUGUGCACUCGUGUGCAGUGGGGGAGAGGCACAGCCUUGGAUCAGUGAAUGGGAGGGGGCUUCCAAGGGAAACUGAGAGGAAUCUCCUCUGCAUGCUGCUCUGGGCUUGUCCUUUGCAGAUCCAGCACCAAGGGUAAGGACACAUGCCGCAGUCCGGCUGCAGCAAAAUAACCGGGGGGUGACGAGCAACUUGUGUACAUUGAUACAGCAGGAGUGGGAGCCGUUUAUUGUAGGACAACAGAGGUAUUUAUACAUUCCACACAGCUUAUCUAAUUAACUUAAACUAGUUACAUCAGUCAACCAAUAAGGAAUCUCCACACUUAAUGGCUCGCUGGCGUUACUUCACAAACCACUCCCUCUGGCAAAAUGCCAGGCACCAUCCAGACUGGUUUACAGACUCUAACAGACACACAGAGGGACAUGUGGACAGAGGACACAGAGGGACAGGUGGGAGACAUGGCCUCUGUGAGAAGCCAGGUGGUAUGACAGGAUAGUCACUCACUGGCUCUUGGCCUUGGGCAAAUGCUCAAGCCUCUACCUCCCCUUCUGCCAAGUAGGAUUCAAAAGGGCCUGUGCUUCGAUUGUGUCAUGUCAAGACCUGAGGGGACAACAGGUGAGGAGCAUGUAGUUCAGGCACAGGACACAUGUCUGUGGAGGACGAGGCUCUGGAGGAAUAUCCUAAGCAAUAGAUGGUUUCUUUGCACUCAGAAUGGGAGGUGGGAUAGGCUGUGGGGGGUGGGGAUAUUCCCCUGUCCACUCUCAGGAGCUGGUGAGUGGGGGGUGAGGGUGCCCUGUCGUGGCUCUCUGGCUAAUGGGACUUCUUAGAUGGCACCUCCGCUAUCGUAGUACUGUCUGAGUAGUGCUGAGCCACAUCCUCUCCCGAGGGGAGCAGGAUUUCUGAGUUGUCACCUAACAUCUUGACGGUUUUGACCCAAACAAUACAUCCUAAGGAAAACAGAGUGGCCACUCACAGGCCUUUUCCCACCCCUCAUGCCCUGCAGUACCAUGCACUGUGGGCAAAGCCGCUCAGCCCUGGGGUGGAAGGCAGGUCCUCUCACUCCUGGACCUGUGGGUCCUCUUGGACUGGGGGCUAGAUCCUGCUUGAGGAGGAAUGCUGUGUUUCUGUGUUCAUGAGAUCCUCAUCUGUCAAAUGGAAACCAGAAUCAUGGCACCCGCCUCACGGGACCUUUGUGGACAUGAACCCAGAUCCAGCACCGGGCCAGGAGGCAAGUCCCGCGAGCAGUCGCCAGCGCCCGCCCAUCCAGGUACCACAGUUCACGGCCAAACUAGGAAGACACCCGUGGAUUGCUCCAGAAUUAAGGAGGAAAGGCCGGUGUGCGGGUUAAUUGAAAGUAACUGGAAGAAUGAACCAGCCCAAAGUCCUGGCUGCAUGAAAUCAGGCGAGAAAAAAGCCAUUAACUACAGCAGGGAGCCCACGUCUAGGCCUCGAUUUCAGAUGAGGAACCCAGUCUUGAGAAAUAAAUCCCGAUACAUUGUUGUCCCCGGGGCUUCCUCUGGCACGUCCCUGGCCACAUAACCUUAGAUGAUCCUUUCCCCUUUGCACCUUUCUUUCUCUUCCUGAUAAAUGGAAGCAUAACCAGGACCCCUGAGGAGGGUGUGGAUGAAAGAAGAUGGAAGUCCCUGAGCUCUUUGACUGACAUGGGCUAGUUUCUAAUUUUCCCACCUUAUUUUUUUUUUUUUGAGAGUAACUUCUUCUCAUCCUGAGGCCUGUCCCUACAUUGGACACUUGGUCUCCAAGGCUUAUUGACACCGUUUCCCACCCAAGACAUUUGUUGCUGCCUUACAGACCCGACACCACGGUCCAUCCUGGAAUGGAAGAUGGAUCAGACCCCAGACGUCCAGCAAAGGGAUGGUCUCCGGCAUGGGGCUUCUCCCCCCAGCCAGGCUCCUGGGGAGUUGCCCCUUCCCUCUCUCGCUGCCCCCAGUGGAUCAAACAUGGUUGUGCUUGUGGGUUUACAGAUGGUCCCCUUGGCCUGGGGCACUCCUCUGCAUGAGUGAUCUUAUACCUCUUUUCCUGUCCCUGGUAAAUGGGGGUGCUGGUGUGGGUGGAGUGGGGACCUGAAACCCAGUUCCCAUCUCAAGUGGGCCAACACCCUUGUCUUGGUAUUGGCCUUUUAGCUCUUUUUUUUCUUUCUUUCUGUUUUCUUUUUUUUCAAGUCUAAGAUCAGGUUGUGAUUAAUGGCAUCCUGAGGUUCCCCCAUGCAGAAAUAAGGUCAUGGUGAAGAAUAGGGCCGUUUUGAAACCCUGGUGAACUUCAGGGGCCAGAGCAGAAUGAAGAUCACUCUGGUUUUGGCUCAUCUUCCUUCUCUGUGGCCUGUGACUUCAAGGCCGGGGCCGUCCCUGCCUCUCAGACUUCCUCUCAUGCAAAUGGCCCCCAGAAGGGUGAGGAGCAGCCACGCUAGAAGAGGAAGCGGAGGGACGCAGCCAACUGCGACCUCUGAGGACCUACUUUCUCUUUUCUAGGCGAGCACCCCGGGGGGUCUCCCCUUGAGGGGCCCCAUCCCGGUCUCUGCCCUGAGCCAGGGCAUGCUGAUGUCCAGGAUGCCCCACAACCUGGAAGCAAGAGCCGGGAGGCUGCUGGCCCAACCACUGCUCAAGAGUCCCUGCUCAGUUCCAUUCAGAGAAAGACCACAGCUCUGAGGCGUCGGUGGCUUUCCCACCCUCCAGCCCUGCCUGUCGCCCCUCUUUCUGGAGCUCAGGACUCCACACCACCUCUCCUCAGCCGUGUGGCUCGGAGGAGGCUGGGAGCCCGUAGGACUUGACAGCACAAAGAUCAGGGACAACCGAGCUUUAGGCCAGAAGGGCCUGGAUAAGCCCUAAGAAGGCAGACCCCUUCCCACGCCUCUGAUGGCAUCUUAAAAAGUUCUACUGUGUGCUGACCUGAGGGCUGCAGGGGCUUGCUUCUUGCUGGACUGAGUUAGUGGGCUGGUGUGCGUGACAUAUUUCUCGAGAACCCUAAGUGCCACAGGAGGGGGUGUGGACAGAGGAAGGAGGACAGACCGACAGCUCCAGCCCUGGCUUGCGUCCGAGUCUGUGAGACCUGGAGGCUCUCAGCCUGGGUCUUUGGGCCUCAGUUUCCCUUCUGGGAGCAAGAGGGCUAGAACCCCCUAUCUUUCUGUCCCUCUGUUUCGUAGUCACAGAAGGAAACAUUCUGUCAUAGCCCCGUCAUCGUCUUAGGAAGGAGUGGCUCACUUCCAGGAAUGAUCCUGAGUGUAGAUGCAGCGGUUCUCGGGCCCAACCAUCUCUCGAGAAAUAAAUGCAUUGAUGAUUAUGUAAGAAGAAGGAUGCAGAAAGUCCCUACCGGUCAGGAUUUUGUUAGCUGUCAUUUACCUCCGGCUGCCAUUCACCAAGUGACUCCAAGCAGUGUGGCGUGGGGUGGGGGGGGGCUCUGGACACCUUCCCCCAUACGUACACACAGUCUACCUUGUGAGUUCAAAGACGUGGCCGGGGCUUUGAAGUGAGAACCAAGUCAGGGCCUGGAUCCCUGCUUCUCCACUUACACAAAGGGGAAGAGAGACUUCAGAAGGUCCGUAGUCGCCAUGGCUCCUGUUCAGUAAGAUUUUCAAGUCUCCUAAGAUACGUAAAUGCCUCUAAAUCUCAUAAAAUAAAUAAGACCGUUUAGUGCAGCAGAAUGAGAGCCCAGUAACCUCGGGGGGAAGUCAUCGGAAACUUCCAGGAUGGAAUUCCCUUAGCUGCACAGUAAAGAGAUUGAAUCUCCCCCUCCCCAGAGUUUCUUCCCCUCCGUGGUCUUGUUCCCCUAAGCAGAUGGCCACGGCCUGAGAGUUAUUAAAGCAUUAAAAUAGUAUCCAUGAGCCCUCAGUUGCUUCUUUUCUCUCGCACACCCAGGUCUGUUGAUACUGAUGAAGAUCGGUCGUUGAUGAAGAACUAUCAAUAUGCACCUCUGUGGCUAAGGGGGCAAGUGGCUCCACAUGGCGCCAUCGUGUGAGAUGUGGCUCCAGACAUCCUUCUAGCUUCCUUCCCUCCUUCGCCAAAGGGACUAGAAGUUUUCUUUCAAAUAUGCUUUAAAUGGGGGGAUGAGGAGCUGCUGGUGGGAGAUGCAGGAAGAGGAAGGCAUCAGCAGCACCAGGGAGGUGUCCAAGAAGCCGCCACCUGGAGCUUAGGAUGAAGAUGAAGGGUCCACUGCCUCUGUCCUGCGUGGACUCCAAGAGCAAAGAAGGGGUGCUAUGGGAAAUGGGAUCUGGAGGGCUUUUCUCCCCCACGGUGCCUCUCCAUUCUCCAAAUAGGGCCUUUCAGACAAACAAGGGGGUCUUGUUCUCCCAGAGACAG
RNAcentral lists this long non-coding RNA (10154 nucleotides) under Marmota monax (woodchuck). Lineage: Eukaryota; Metazoa; Chordata; Mammalia; Rodentia; Sciuridae. The record is from RNAcentral.